This 415-nucleotide ribosomal RNA is filed under the name uncultured bacterium. Its description in RNAcentral is "bacterial SSU rRNA". It matches the Rfam family "Bacterial small subunit ribosomal RNA", at positions 355 to 787 of the family's 1533-position model. The record is from RNAcentral.
UGGGGAAUAUUGCACAAUGGGGGAAACCCUGAUGCAGCGACGCCGCGUGGAGGAAGAAGGCCUUCGGGUUGUAAACUCCUGUCGUAAGGGACGAUAGUGACGGUACCUUACAAGAAAGCCACGGCUAACUACGUGCCAGCAGCCGCGGUAAAACGUAGGUGGCAAGCGUUGUCCGGAAUUACUGGGUGUAAAGGGAGCGCAGGCGGGUCUGCAAGUUGGAAGUGAAACCCAUGGGCUCAACCCAUGAACUGCUUUCAAAACUGCGGAUCUUGAGUGGUGUAGAGGUAGGCGGAAUUCCCGGUGUAGCGGUGGAAUGCGUAGAUAUCGGGAGGAACACCAGUGGCGAAGGCGGCCUACUGGGCACUAACUGACGCUGAGGCUCGAAAGCAUGGGUAGCAAACAGGAUUAGAUACCC